RNAcentral lists this ribosomal RNA (616 nucleotides) under uncultured bacterium. RNAcentral describes it as "bacterial SSU rRNA". It matches the Rfam family "Bacterial small subunit ribosomal RNA", at positions 9 to 632 of the family's 1533-position model. The record is from RNAcentral.
GAGUUUGAUCCUGGCUCAGGAUGAACGCUGGCGGCGUGCUUAACACAUGCAAGUCGAACGAUGACUUCUGUGCUUGCACAGAAUGAUUAGUGGCGAACGGGUGAGUAACACGUGAGUAACCUGCCCUUGACUUCGGGAUAAGCCUGGGAAACCGGGUCUAAUACCGGAUACGACCUCCUGGCGCAUGCCAUGGGGGUGGAAAGCUUUAUUGCGGUUUUGGAUGGACUCGCGGCCUAUCAGCUUGUUGGUUGGGGUAAUGGCCCACCAAGGCGACGACGGGUAGCCGGCCUGAGAGGGUGACCGGCCACACUGGGACUGAGACACGGCCCAAACUCCUACGGGAGGCAGCAGUGGGGAAUAUUGCACAAUGGGCGAAAGCCUGAUGCAGCGACGCCGCGUGAGGGAUGACGGNCUUCGGGUUGUAACCCUCUUCAGCANGNAAGAAGCGAAAGUGACGGUACCUGCAGAAGAAGCGCCGGCUAACUACGUGCCAGCAGCCGCGGUAAUACGUAAGGGCGCAGCGUUAUCCGGAAUUAUUGGCCGUAAAGAGCUCGUAGGCGGUUUGUCCCGUUCUGCUGUAAAACCCGGGGGCUCACCCCCGGGUUCUGANUGGGUU